This 510-nucleotide ribosomal RNA is filed under the name uncultured bacterium. RNAcentral's name for it is "bacterial SSU rRNA". It matches the Rfam family "Bacterial small subunit ribosomal RNA", at positions 15 to 518 of the family's 1533-position model. The record is from RNAcentral.
GAUCCUGGCUUAGGAUGAACGCUGGCGGCGUGCUUAACACAUGCAAGUCGAACGAAGCUCUGCUUAAGGAUCUUUCGGAGUGACUAAAGUAGAUGACUGAGUGGCGGACGGGUGAGUAACGCGUGGGUAACCUGCCCUAUACAGGGGGAUAGCAGUUGGAAACGACUGAUAAUACCGCAUAAGCGCACAGGGUCGCAUGACCCGGUGUGAAAAACUCCGGUGGUAUAGGAUGGACCCGCGUCUGAUUAGCUAGUUGGUGAGGUAACGGCUCACCAAGGCGACGAUCAGUAGCCGACCUGAGAGGGUGACCGGCCACAUUGGGACUGAGACACGGCCCAAACUCCUACGGGAGGCAGCAGUGGGGAAUAUUAAAGCACAAUGGGCGAAAGCCUGAUGCAGCGAACCGCCGCGUGAGUGAUGAAGUAUUUCGGUAUGUAAAGCUCUAUCAGCAGGGAAGAUAAUGACGGUACCUGACUAAGAAGCACCGGCUAAAUACGUGCCAGCAGCCGC